RNAcentral lists this non-coding RNA (148 nucleotides) under Gorilla gorilla gorilla (western lowland gorilla). The record is from Rfam by way of RNAcentral. Lineage: Eukaryota; Metazoa; Chordata; Mammalia; Primates; Hominidae.
GCUGGGUGUGGUGGCGUGUGCCUGUAGUCCGAGCUACUCGGAAGGCUGAGAUGGGAGGAUUGCCUGAGCCUAGGAGGUUGAGGCUGCAGUGAGCCGAGAUCAUGCCACUGCACUCCAGCCUGGGCAACAGAGCAAGACCCUGUCUCAA